AACGAACGCUGGCGGCAUGCCUAACACAUGCAAGUCGAACGAGACCUUCGGGUCUAGUGGCGCACGGGUGCGUAACGCGUGGGAACCUGCCCUUAGGUUCGGAAUAACUCCCCGAAAGGGGUGCUAAUACCGGAUAAUGUCUUCGGACCAAAGAUUUAUCGCCUUUGGAUGGGCCCGCGUUGGAUUAGCUAGUUGGUAGGGUAAAAGCCUACCAAGGCGACGAUCCAUAGCUGGUCUGAGAGGAUGAUCAGCCACACUGGGACUGAGACACGGCCCAGACGCAAGCAGGAGGAAGCGGGGGGGAGUAGUAGACGAAGGGCGAAGGCGUGAAACGGCCAUGCCGCGGGAGUGAUGAAGACAGUAGGGGUGUAAAGCUCUUAGGCGAGCGAUGAGAAGGACGGGGCAGGGAGAAAAGGCACAGACUAACGCCAUG
Molecule: ribosomal RNA, 433 nt
Filed under: uncultured bacterium
Lineage: Bacteria
Description: partial 16S ribosomal RNA
Rfam family: Bacterial small subunit ribosomal RNA
Source: RNAcentral